Piromyces finnis is the source of this 73-nucleotide transfer RNA. It matches the Rfam family "tRNA". From Rfam's summary of the family: Transfer RNA (tRNA) molecules are approximately 80 nucleotides in length. Lineage: Eukaryota; Fungi; Neocallimastigomycota; Neocallimastigomycetes; Neocallimastigales; Neocallimastigaceae. The record is from Rfam.
GCGAAGUUGGCGCAGUCGGCAGCGCGUAAGUCUCAUAAUCUUAAGGUCGUGAGUUCGAACCUCACACUUCGCA